AGCAGCCGCGGUAAUUCCAGCUCCAAUAGCGUAUAUUAAAGUUGUUGCAGUUAAAAAGCUCGUAGUUGAAUUUCGGGGUCAGUAGGUCGGUCGUGCCACUGGUAUGAACUGGUCUCACUGAUUCCUCCCUCUUGUAGAACCGUGAUGCCAUUAAUUUGGUGUUGCGGGGAAACAGGACUGUUACUUUAGAAAAAAUUAGAGUAGUUUAAAGCAAGCUAACGCUUGAAUACAUUAGCAUGGAAUAAUGAAAUAGGACGUCGAUCUUAUUUUGUUGGUUUCUAGGGUUGACGUAAUGAUUAAUAGGGAUAGUUGGGGGCAUUAGUAUUCAAUUGUCAGAGGUGAAAUUCUUGGAUUUAUUGAAGACUAACUACUGCGAAAGCAUUUGCCAAGGAUGUUUCAUUAAUCAAGAACGAAAGUUAGGGGAUCGAAGACGAUCAGAUACCGUCGUAGUCUUAACCAUAAACUAUGCCGACUAGGGAUCGGAUGAUGUUAAUUUUUAAUGACUCAUUCGGCGCCUUAC
This 520-nucleotide ribosomal RNA is filed under the name uncultured Glomus. RNAcentral describes it as "SSU rRNA". It matches the Rfam family "Eukaryotic small subunit ribosomal RNA", at positions 569 to 1091 of the family's 1831-position model. Lineage: Eukaryota; Fungi; Glomeromycota; Glomeromycetes; Glomerales; Glomeraceae. The record is from RNAcentral.